This 103-nucleotide transfer-messenger RNA is filed under the name Betaproteobacteria bacterium HGW-Betaproteobacteria-10. RNAcentral describes it as "partial transfer-messenger RNA". It matches the Rfam family "Betaproteobacteria transfer-messenger RNA", at positions 228 to 331 of the family's 331-position model. Rfam says of the family: Bacterial tmRNA, also known as 10Sa RNA or SsrA, is named for its dual tRNA and mRNA-like properties. Lineage: Bacteria; Pseudomonadati; Pseudomonadota; Betaproteobacteria. The record is from RNAcentral.
CCAAUGAUGAGCAAUUCGCUAUUGCCGCCUAAAAACGGUUAGCCGGGGCUGCUAGAGCCUUGUUACCAAAGAUAGCCGGUGGGGACUUCGGUCCCCAUCGUCA